GCUGGAAAAGGUAGAGGAGAUGGCGCAGGGGACACGGCUGAGACUGGGGUCCCGGGACUUCCAAACAUGUGUCCUCUUCCCCUUCCUCCCAGGUCUAUG
MicroRNA precursor from Vicugna pacos (alpaca), 99 nucleotides. Lineage: Eukaryota; Metazoa; Chordata; Mammalia; Artiodactyla; Camelidae. The record is from Ensembl.